This is a long non-coding RNA of Nerophis lumbriciformis (worm pipefish), 910 nucleotides long. RefSeq lists it as uncharacterized. Lineage: Eukaryota; Metazoa; Chordata; Actinopteri; Syngnathiformes; Syngnathidae. The record is from RefSeq and is a predicted model, not a curated record.
AUGCUUCACUUCCGGAGCUGUAGCACGUAAUUUCCUUCCACUGCAUCUGAGUUAGUGAACAAACCCCCUCUAUAUACGCACGUUAUUCGUCCAGGAAGAGUCAAUAUACAACAGGCCCGCGUUCCACAUCUGGCCCGCCCAAGUUUUUCAUUUGGCCUGCCGAAUAGGCUCGAUGAAAGCAUUAAAACUAGGGUUGAUCGUGUAUGCAGUACUCCCGCCAGCCCGCGGGGCGACAGCGAGUGUUAUGUGUCACAGUGACGCAGCAGUAGGGUGAGUAGAAGAAGACUACUCAAUUCAACCCUGGAAAACAAAUCUAAAUAAAUUGCUAAAAAUCGGACUUUUAACGACGACUGUACAACAAAGAAUGAAUGUUCUACCCUGAGCAAGUAUUCGAGUCGUUGUUUUCUGGCGGACCUUUUAAGCGAUGGACACAUCGAUCCAGACAAGCAGCAUACAGUCUUCACAGUCUGGAAAACCUUGGACACGCAUAGCCUCUCAUCACCUGAAGAGUUCAAGGAAACAAGACAAGGUUUUUCAUGGGACACAUUUAUUUUUCUAUUAGAAAUGGCAACAGCGGAGGAUGAAUGUCCCAUAACAAGAAGAUAGAGAAAAAGAAGAAGCUUAUCGACUACAAAGGCGGAAGCGCGCACAUUUUCAGGACUUAUGCAGAUCCCAAAUACAGAUCAGCAGGUACCAGAAGGUUGAAGCCCAUGGCGGCCGUCAUGGCCUUGCGGGUGUUUCUGGCGGCACCCAGCUGAGCCAUGGCCAGCACGGAGGAGACGCCGUAGGGGGACAAGACCACAUUGCUGUCCCCGGUGGCUCUUGCCAAGUGGGAGAAGACCUUCAGCCCAAAGUCGGUGUGCUUGUCUGACAGCGAUGCUUGUCCGCCUCUGCCAGUGCUCAGUAGGAC